Molecule: ribosomal RNA, 433 nt
Filed under: uncultured bacterium
Lineage: Bacteria
Description: partial 16S ribosomal RNA
Rfam family: Bacterial small subunit ribosomal RNA
Source: RNAcentral
AACGAACGCUGGCGGCAUGCCUAACACAUGCAAGUCGAACGAGACCUUCGGGUCUAGUGGCGCACGGGUGCGUAACGCGUGGGAACCUGCCUUUAGGUUCGGAAUAACUCAGAGAAAUUUGAGCUAAUACCGGAUGAUGUCUUUGGACCAAAGAUUUAUCGCCUUUAGAUGGGCCCGCGUUGGAUUAGCUAGUUGGUGGGGUAAAGGCCUACCAAGGCGACGAUCCAUAGCUGGUCUGAGAGGAUGAUCAGCCACACUGGGACUGAGACACGGCCCAGACUCCUACGGGAGGCAGCAGUGGGGAAUAUUGGACAAUGGGCGAAAGCCUGAUCCAGCAAUGCCGCGUGAGUGAUGAAGGCCUUAGGGUUGUAAAGCUCUUUUACCCGAGAUGAUAAUGACAGUGUCGGGAGAAUAAGCUCCGGCUAACUCCGUG